Molecule: long non-coding RNA, 502 nt
Organism: Corythoichthys intestinalis (scribbled pipefish)
Lineage: Eukaryota; Metazoa; Chordata; Actinopteri; Syngnathiformes; Syngnathidae
Exons: 3
Source: RefSeq, a predicted model, not a curated record
AGAAGUGCAGCUGUCACAACAAGCGAGUGAGCGAGUUAGUGAGAGAGGCAAACACUGCUACGAGCCUACGUUGGUAAAACAUCUACAGAGGCAACGCCUCAGACUACUGGAUCUCCUCGCACAGGCCUAGCUCGUUUGUGUGGCGGGUGUUGUGUUCUGGUCUCCGCGGAGCUCGAGGGGCCCAAGUGAUGCCGCGUCACAUUCACGCCGGGUGAAAGACUUUAGUCUACAGGUUAUCCUACUUGUUGCUAUGGAGAUGGUCAUAUGAGAAGGUAGAAUGAUAAGUAGGAGUACAGUGGAGCCUUCAAGGUCGAACACAAUCCCUUCCAGUAAACUGCUCAACCUCCAAUUUCUUGCUCGGAUUGGGAAAAAAAUAUAUAUAUAAAACUUUGUAGGUGUACUGAAGAUUUGCCACUUCUGAGACUCUAGACUUAAGGAACUUCCACUGUAAUCAAGCACGUGAUGGUGUAAUAUCACUUCUGCUCUGUAGCAAAUAAUGAUC